AUGGAUUCGGCUCCACACUAGAGAUGAGUAAAUGGAACUUGUUCUAGGUGGUUAGCCAGAUGCAGGCUAUCGUCGAGCGUUAUCCAUGCUGGGGUGAUACUGUUGAAGUAAAUACAUGGGUUAGUACUAAUGGUAAAAAUGGAAUGCGUAUGGAUUGGCAUAUACGUGAUUCUAUGACAUGCCACACAAUACUGAAGGCGACAAGUAAAUGGGUUAUGAUGAACAAACUCACUAGGAAGCUUGCAAGAAUUCUAGAUAAGUGCGGACUGAAAUAGAGCCAUACUUUGUUGGGCGUUCUGCUAUUGUUGAUGAAGACAACCGCAAGCUUCCAAAACUGCCAGAGGGUCAAAGCACUUGUGCAGCUAAAUAUGUGAGGACAGGCCUGACUGCAUGCAGCACAAAGCCGGUCGUGGCAGAUGUUAUCGGUAU
Long non-coding RNA from Zea mays, 429 nucleotides. RefSeq lists it as uncharacterized. NCBI's taxonomy places the organism in Eukaryota, Viridiplantae, Streptophyta, Magnoliopsida, Poales, Poaceae. The transcript is spliced from 4 exons. The record is from RefSeq and is a predicted model, not a curated record.